Molecule: long non-coding RNA, 1550 nt
Filed under: Sorghum bicolor (sorghum)
Lineage: Eukaryota; Viridiplantae; Streptophyta; Magnoliopsida; Poales; Poaceae
Description: long non-coding RNA (SBIC_LNC004901)
Source: RNAcentral
CCCGUCUUCUUGUUUUCGAAACCCCACUUCAUUAGAGAUUGAGUUUGAAACCUUCAUUUACAUCUAGUAAUUUAGUACUUGUUCUACUUGUUCUUGCUGGUUCUUCGAUUGCUUGCAGGACGAGUGCCCUAGUGGCCGGGUGUUGCGCUCCACAAGAUCGUGACAGCCAUUGGAGGCGGUGUAUCGGUUGCUAAGGCGCGGUCUUGAGGGCUGUAGUCUGGCCGUGAACGUCAUCUCCAUUCACUAAUCGAGUUAUCCAGCGCCUCUCAUCAAAAGAUCAGGCGAAAACCAUAGUGGGUUCACAUCAGUUGGUAUCAGAGCAAGGUUUAUCGGUGAGAGAUUUCCAAUUCUUCGUGUUUGUUUUUCCUAUAGUCCAAAAAAAGACAAAAAAUAUAGCAGAUUUGUUUUCCAUAAUCCUAUAAAUCCUUUGUGCCGUGGCUAGUACCGUUUUAGUUAGGGCUUGUUGAAUUUGUGUUGGCUCGGUUUGUGUCGAGUUGCUGGUCUUAGUGUCUAGUCCUUUAGAGUUUCGAGUUCUUGUCACCAUCUAUACACAGCCGAGUAUUACCAUAUCUUCUCUCUGUCGAAUCUGUUGCAAAGUCCAAAUUGAACUGUGGUCUUGGUCCGGAUCGAGUAGAGUUCCAAUCUGAGUUCAAAAAGAAAGAUAACUCCAUACUUGUUCGGUCUUACUCUAGAGAGAGAGAGAGAGAGUGUGUAGCGAAUUAGUGUGUGUAGCGAAUUGCUCUUUUGUAUUCUUUUGUUCAUAUAAUCAGUUUUUGAUGUUGCCCAAAAAAAAAGAAAAAAAAGAAAAAAAAGAAAAGAGAAAAGAUUCAAAAGAAAAAAAAGGGGUUGUUUUUAAUAUUGAUUUUAGGUUUGUUCCACCUUGUUUUCGGGGGUGUGCUGUGGUUUUCCUUUGUGUCCAGGCUCGCGUCUCUAGCACGGUCUAGCCUAGGACCAGCACAGUACCAUCGUCGAACGCUUAUUCAGCUCGCUUUUAUAACUAACGUGGUGCUAGUUCGUUCCUUGUUUCAGCCCACCUAUAGCUCCACAUACUCUACAGCUUGACAGGUCUUGUGCUGCAGCACCGAUACACUUCGUCCAUUGCUGUACACUUGUUGGCAGACGACCCCUCCUGUCAAGCAAGGUAAGAAUUGGUAAGAACUUGUGUUACAGGUUGAGUGUGAGCGACUUGCUGUAGCUACAUCCUAGUAGUUGUAGGGCUUUUAUUUCUUCACUUGCCUUUUUGUUGUCUUUGUCUUUGAACCAUGCCAGGGGCAGAUGAUGGUAACGAAACACCACAUACACCUCGCACUAAGGGCAUCAUACAACAUUUUGAAAGGAAAGUGAAGCUGCACACAGAGGGACUUGAUAACCACUUGCAGGUGACAAAUGAAAAGCUGGGGCAGUUGGAGGCUACGCAGAUUGCCACAAACAACAAGCUCACAAGUUUGGAGGAAUCCGUUGCUAGUGUGGACAAAAGCCUUGCUGCUCUCCUAAGGCGAUUUGAUGAUUUCCACACCGAAGAUAAAGAGAAGCAUAAAGAAGAAAAGGAG